GAGAAUACAGCUCAGUGGUAGAGUGCAUGCCUAGCAUGCAUAAGGCCCUGGGUUCGAUCUCCAGUACUUCCA
RNAcentral lists this transfer RNA (72 nucleotides) under Camelus bactrianus (Bactrian camel). It matches the Rfam family "tRNA". Rfam says of the family: Transfer RNA (tRNA) molecules are approximately 80 nucleotides in length. Their secondary structure includes four short double-helical elements and three loops (D, anti-codon, and T loops). The record is from Rfam by way of RNAcentral. RNAcentral also lists the same sequence under 2 other names. Lineage: Eukaryota; Metazoa; Chordata; Mammalia; Artiodactyla; Camelidae.